Molecule: non-coding RNA, 111 nt
Filed under: uncultured Eubacterium sp.
Lineage: Bacteria; Bacillati; Bacillota; Clostridia; Eubacteriales; Eubacteriaceae
Description: FMN riboswitch (RFN element)
Rfam family: FMN riboswitch aptamer (RFN element)
About the family: The RFN element is a highly conserved domain that is found frequently in the 5'-untranslated regions of prokaryotic mRNAs that encode for flavin mononucleotide (FMN) biosynthesis and transport proteins. This element is a metabolite-dependent riboswitch that directly binds FMN in the absence of proteins.
Source: RNAcentral
AUCUUCAGGGCGGGGUGCAAGUCCCCACUGGCGGUAAAGUCCGCGAGUCGCUUUUGCGAUCGAAUCGGUGAAACUCCGGUACCAACAGUUACAGUCUGGAUGGAAGAAGAU